RNAcentral lists this ribosomal RNA (253 nucleotides) under uncultured bacterium. RNAcentral describes it as "partial 16S ribosomal RNA". It matches the Rfam family "Bacterial small subunit ribosomal RNA", at positions 524 to 776 of the family's 1533-position model. The record is from RNAcentral.
UACAGAGGUCCCAAGCGUUGUUCGGAUUCAUUGGGCGUAAAGGGUGCGUAGGUGGCAGGGUAAGUCGGAUGUGAAAUCCCGGGGCUCAACCUCGGAACUGCAUUCGAUACUGCUUUGCUGGAGUACUGGAGAGGAGAUUGGAAUUUACGGUGUAGCAGUGAAAUGCGUAGAUAUCGUAAGGAAGACCAGUGGCGAAGGCGGAUCUCUGGACAGUUACUGACACUGAGGCACGAAGGCCAGGGGAGCAAACGGG